Molecule: unclassified non-coding RNA, 513 nt
Filed under: Hevea brasiliensis (rubber tree)
Lineage: Eukaryota; Viridiplantae; Streptophyta; Magnoliopsida; Malpighiales; Euphorbiaceae
Source: RNAcentral
GAAAAAAAGAAAGAAAAGAAAAGAGAGGGGUUUCAUAUUGGAAUCCAAUUCAAAUAGUUAGGAGUUAAGAAGAUGUGAAUAAAAAAUAAAAUAAAAUAAUGAGGGCCAAAACUUGUCUAGUCCUUAUCCAUUAUAAUUCAAGACACCAUUACAAUUCAAGAAACAUAUAUGGGUAUUAUCUAUUUUACAUAUGUUAUGUCUUGCAUCUAUGAUUAACUGGCCUAGGCAAGAAUUUCUCCAAAAUUUAACUGCUAUAUCUUUGUGGCAUUGCUAGCAUGAGCAGCAGAAUAAAAAUGGCAAUACAAAUUGUGGAAGGAUCUGGGAUAAUGAGGAGGCAGUAGAAAUGAAAGAUUCUAGAUUCUUAAUUCAAAAUGGGCCAAUAAUGUGGUGCUUCUUUUAUUCAAUUCAAUGACAAACUUGCUAAGCCCCUAAUAGCAAAAGUAAAUUAAAGCAAGCAUUGAGCAGAGCAAAGUACACGGUAAAUUAGUAGAAGUAUGAAUGAAAGAGAAAGAC